Molecule: ribosomal RNA, 402 nt
Filed under: uncultured bacterium
Lineage: Bacteria
Description: bacterial SSU rRNA
Rfam family: Bacterial small subunit ribosomal RNA
Source: RNAcentral
AGGGGAAUCUUGCACAAUGGAGGAAACUCUGAUGCAGCGACGCCGCGUGAGCGAAGAAGCCUUUCGGGGUGUAAAGCUCUUACGCCAGGGACGAUAAUGACGGUACCUGGAGAAGCAGCUGCGGCUAACUACGUGCCAGCAGCCGCGGUAAUACGUAGGCAGCAAGCGUUGUUCGGAAUUACUGGGCGUAAAGGGUGCGUAGGCGGCGCUCUAAGUUUGGUGUGAAAUCUCCCGGCUUAACUGGGAGGGUGCACUGAAAACUGGGGCGCUCGAGUAUGGGAGAGGAAAGCGGAAUUCCGGGUGUAGCGGUGAAAUGCGUAGAGAUCAGGAGGAACACCUGCGGUGCAGACGGCUUUCUGGACCAUCACUGACGCUGAGGCGCGAAAGAGUGGGUAGCAAACA